This 4091-nucleotide ribosomal RNA is filed under the name Elphidium excavatum. Its description in RNAcentral is "partial small subunit ribosomal RNA". The stretch from base 651 to 4091 matches the Rfam family "Eukaryotic small subunit ribosomal RNA". Lineage: Eukaryota; Foraminifera; Rotaliida; Elphidiidae. The record is from RNAcentral.
CUCAAAGAUUAAGCCAUGCAAGUGGUUAUUAUAACCCGACAGUUUAAAUAAGUGUUUGGUAAUGAUCAGUAACUUAAACUCACUCACGUACUCAAAAACGAAAAUAUAGAUUACUAACGCGAUCUAUAUUUAGUGAAACGCUUACCACGUUAUCACUUAUGCAACUGCAGACAGCUGCUUAAUACAGUCACACUUGUCUUGACUUGGCUAACUUUUAGAGACAUACACUUGACACUGUAUGUACGCCACCGCACAAAAUUAUUUACACACAAAUGUACUCCACCACGCAUGGAUGUCUUUUAUGCACGCACGCAUACGCGUUGUAGGCAAUUUGUUGAUGUACUCGCGCUCAAUUUUCACCGCACACAAACGACUUAUGACCGCAAAUUAUAUAUUAGCGACCGCGGAUUUUAAUCUUGCCAAAAGAGCUAUCUUUGCAACUUGCUAUAGAACCAGACCGCACUGACUGCUCGUUUGAGACUUUAACGAGUCUCAUAUACAAGAGGUUUUAAAAUGCAACUGCCAAUUUGCGCGUCGUACACAGUGCGUGUCGCGAGGUUGAUUGUCGUGUUGGGUGUAUCUUCAAAUACCGUCUAUAAACGUGUGUGUGUGUGUGUAUGUAUUGGAUAUUUGUGCACGCGUGUUGUAUAUACGUCCCUGUACUUAUUUAUGUGUGUGUGGUGCUAUGUACGUGUCGUCGUAUGCUCUCUAAAAAAACACACACACAAAAUAAAUGCUUUGACGGAUAACUCAGGGAAAGUUUGGCUAAUACGUACGAACUAAAAAAAAAAACUGGYUUAUUGUCGUGUUGAAUUGUCGUGUCAAAAAGANCCACUCUCUUUGUGUUUGACAUUGUGUCUACAACAUUCCUCUCUCACUAACACACACACACCCCUUAUUGGAAUAAUUGCACUCACUCUCGUCUUUCACAUAAAACCAACUCACCCAAACGGUUUUGUGUUCACGCACACGCGCACAUUUCUCACACUUUAAAAACGAAUAUCGCUUUUCGCGUUCAGUGGUUGGAGUUUACCAAACGCAACAUGAGAGACACUGAAUACGCAGUAAUUAAGGGACUUGCGCCCUUUUUUACAUACGCUGAGUUGAUAUGAUACGAUUUUCUCGUAUUAUACAUGUCAUACAAGCAUCUAUAGCAUCAAGUCACAGGGUUGGCAAGUGUAUUAUUGAACCUUCAAAGCAGUCACGCAUACGGAAGAGUAGUUUCUGAUCCCAUAGAAGGAGCACAGUACAUUGAGAGACGGCUCUUAGUUCUAAGGAACGCAGCAGGCGCGUAAAUUGUCCAAUAAUAGUACAAUUUAUUCUUUUACCCUAACGAGGUAAAAUUAAAAAGUACAUGUGAAUCUUAAAUUCGCUGUAUUUUACCACAACACAAACCUUAAACUAACGUCGAGUAAAAAAAUAAUAUAUUGAGACAGUGACAAGCUGUAACGGUUGAGUAUAAUAAUUAUGACGAGUGUCUGACUUCUGCCGCUACUUCGGUAGCUUGGCGAGUGUCGACACUUUGUGUGCUCAAUUGGAAUGCGGUGAGUUUAAAACACUCAGAACCUGGUGAUUGAUAUUGGCGUAAUGCCUUUAUCAUUUCAUCGUAUCUGAAUCUUCAAGUGGAGGGCAAGUCUGGUGCCAGCAGCCGCGGUAAUACCAGCUCCACUGGCCUAUACAAUCAUUGUUGCGGUUAAGAGGCUCGUAGUUGGAUUGAAUAUAUUAAAUUUUACGACGUUGUACGUAUAGAUUUUGUCUCAGUAUAAACGUUGUAUAUCGUACUAACUAACACCACCCACCUUAUUCAACACUGUGAACAAAUCAGAGUGUAUCAAACAUGUCUUUUUUACACGCACUGAAUGUCCCAUCAUGGAAUGUUGCUUUGCUAUCCGGUAAUUAAUUACACGCUUUAACACACUUAUAUACACGUCGAUGGAGAUAGUUGGAGUCAACAGUACUACUGGGCGAGCGGUGAAAUGCAUUGACCCUAGUAUGACUACCAAAAGCGAAAGCAGUUGGCUAGGCUAUACUCUUUGUGGAUUUGCUCAGUUGAUUGUUGUGUAACACACACACCCCUUUGAGUUGCUUUGUGCAGUGGUCCGUGCUGUGUUGUUGUUAUUAUUCAUGUAUGAGGUUUAUGAUUAUAUUUUUGUACGCGCCGCUCGUGGACGAUAUUUGAUUUUGUGAGUUUGUGUGUGCUUGUGUAAUUUUAUUGACACACCCACAAUGCGCUUCGGUGCUGCGUGUGUGUCCUUUAUUUUUACCACGCGCGCAAACGUACAUUCUCAUUCAUCUAAAACGACGCGUGUGCAUUUUUAUAGUUAUAUAUCUCUUGUGUUUAAUAUGAUACAGUACAGUACUCACCACUCACAUUGCCUUUGUCGUGGAAGUGUUGUUGUGAUUUUGUUAUGCGCAGUGAACAUCUUUUGCAACGCAAUUUUAUACACACAGCGUACAUUUUCAUACAUCUGACACGCACGCACGCACGCACGCACGCRCGCGCAUUAGAUUAGUAAUUACGCACUAUACAUUACCACCUCUACWSGACCACACACAUCGAACCACUCACUCAAACAACAWUACWCUGDUGCRUAGUACACUUUACHACGAAKRACGAAGGUUGGGGGAUCAAAGAGGAUCAGAUACCCUCGUCGUCCCAUUUUUACAUCAAACGAUGGGCUCUCAAUUGCACACUUUACCGUGUGUAGUUGUUAUAUUAUAUUCCCAACCUGCAACAUUUYUAGCUGACUUGAGCUUGUGUUUUCRAACACGCUCGUCGCUUUAAAUUUAUUGCUAACUCAGGAGUUUUAAUAUUCUCUGCACACACAUUCUUUACGAUAGUAUUAAUCAAACGUGUAUUUUUCUUCGGAAUUUUCACUUUGUUCUAUCUUGAUUUUCGGAGCUUUGCGCUCAAUUUAUUUGGUGAGAUGUAAGCACGCGUGAUUGUAUAAUGGUACGUUGUUGCAUUCGUGCAACACUACUCAUUUUUACUUUCACAAUCUUUGUGUGACGCACGUGUUAGGCACGGGCUUACUGCAGAAAUGUUUAAGACACUUCUUUCCUGGGGUAGUAUGCAUGCAAGUGUGAAACUUGAAGGAAUUGACGGAAGGGCACCACAAGAACGCGCGGAUCAUGUGGCUUAAUUUGACUCAACGCGGGAAAUCUUACCGGGUCCGGACACACUGGGGAUUGACAGGUUAUGGGGCGGGUUGAAUUUCAAUCUCUUCGGGGAUUAAUUUUCUCCCACCUCAAAAAUAUGCUAGUCCUUUCAUGAUUAUGUGAUAGGUGGUGCAUGGCCGUUCUUAGUUCGUGGAGUGAUCUGUCUGCUUAAUUGCGUUUCACUAAAGGCGUCAUUAAUUUUUUGUGCCUGUGUUUGACCCCGCACUUCGGUGCGCGCGCGUCUUUCACACACAAUUACUUUGACGUCUGAAAGCAACGAACGUGACCGUAACCUCUUGUUGCCUUCUCUUCUCUUCGGAGAAUGCUGCUUUAUACCUUCACGGGUGUAUCGCAGUAUACGGAGGCUUAAUACUCAGUAACUAGAGGGACCGCUGUUACUUUCUUUAAACCAGAGGAAGGUUGCGGCAAUAACAGGUCUGUGAUGCCCUUAGAUGUUCCGGGCUGCACACGUGAUACAUUGAUUACUUCAGUGAGUAUCUACGUAUUACUGCGCAGCAGUAUACGCGUGUUGUUUAUUGCUUCGGCAAUUUACUUUGCGCUAUACGCCGCCUUAACCUACUUCGAAAGUAUGUGGGUAACCAAUUAGAAGUAGUGAUUUCCCUCUUUAUAAGCACACUUAUAUGGAGCAUCAUCACCCGGCAUGCCUUGUGCAUGUUUUGUGUGUGUUGUUUGUCUACAUGUGCUUUUGUCAAUUCAUAGUGGGGACAGACCAUUGUUAAUUGUUGGUCUCGGUCUUAACUAGGAAUGCCUUGUACGAGUUUUUGGUUCAACAAACCACUCGGAAUACGUCCCUGCCCUUUGUACACACCGCCCGUCGCUCUUACCGAUGGAUUAUAUUAUGAGUUGGCAGGACCGUCCAGGAAAUGCCUGCGAAUAAUGUGAUCUAAAGGAAAGAGAAGUCGAACAAGGCA